Molecule: ribosomal RNA, 253 nt
Filed under: uncultured bacterium
Lineage: Bacteria
Description: partial 16S ribosomal RNA
Rfam family: Bacterial small subunit ribosomal RNA
Source: RNAcentral
UACGGAGGGGGCUAGCGUUGUUCGGAAUUACUGGGCGUAAAGCGCACGUAGGCGGCUUUGUAAGUUAGAGGUGAAAGCCCGGAGCUCAACUCCGGAAUUGCCUUUAAGACUGCAUCGCUAGAAUUGUGGAGAGGUGAGUGGGAUUCCGAGUGUAGAGGUGAAAUUCGUAGAUAUUCGGAAGAACACCAGUGGCGAAGGCGACUCACUGGACACAUAUUGACGCUGAGGUGCGAAAGCGUGGGGAGCAAACAGG